This is a long non-coding RNA of Sphaerodactylus townsendi, 1108 nucleotides long. RefSeq lists it as uncharacterized. NCBI's taxonomy places the organism in Eukaryota, Metazoa, Chordata, Lepidosauria, Squamata, Sphaerodactylidae. The record is from RefSeq and is a predicted model, not a curated record. The transcript has 2 exons.
UCCUGCAGAGAAAGAUGGCUGCUUUGUAGUGUGGAGGGUAUGCUGAACUUUCACACUGCUUUUUCCCACGUGCUUGUAAAAACUGCUGCUUUAUAGUCCGUUCAUAAAACGGCAAUUUGGAAGAUAGUCCAAACGUCCAGAGUUAUUAGAAGAAAACUGAGCUAUGUGGACGCGACGCCCAAGACUCGCCUGCUCAGCAUUGUAAAACUUGCCCCGAGAAGGGUUAGGGAAGAUAAUAAGACUACAACUAUGACGUCUGAUCAAGCUGGGAGCUCAGGCCGAGAGAAAGGAGAAGUGACCGCCUGGAAUCUGUGAAGGCUUGAAGGCAAUCAAGAUAGCCACAGCACAAGAGAAGUCUUCAAUAUCAACAUUACUUGAAUAGAGAAUCCAAGGCAAUCCGAGAUCAUGUAGGGAUCUUUGUCAUCACCCAGGUUUAAAAUGGAACUUGAAGAGUCUUUCGUUUUCCGAACCACAAUAACCAUGUUAAAUAAAUCUGGGCCUAACUUUUAUAACUAUUAAGUGGGGCUUAAUGAGACCUAUACCAGUUUUAGUGCCAUCAACUGGAAUACAGGAAAUUCCUUCAAUUCUCAAUCCCUGCCAUUUUCUGUGAUUUCAUUCUAUUUUAAUCAGUACCUGUAAAGCAGUUUAGAAAGGUCUGCAUUAUGGUUUUUAAAAUUCUUGCCAAAUUUCACGAACUGCAAGUUAAAGUUCUCCUAAAAUGCAAUGUAUUAAAUUGCUUAUCUUCAAAGUUGUCUAUGAGGAGUUUGUAUCUGCAAAAUUGCAGCUGUCAAGAGGCUUGAAAUCCAUUGCUAAUAAUAAUUACAACAUUACAAUACCAUGGAAUUAAGGAAUGUUUGCUAGCAAGUAUUCUACAUGAUCCUGCAUACUUCUCCAUCUGGCAAGCUUUAUUGGACUCAGUACCUCCCAGUAUUUAAUUAGUUUUAAUGAAAUGGGAGGGGUUCUAUUUGGUAUUUUACAGUAUGCAGGGCCUGACUAACACUUGUGAAUUCAGCCCUUUUAAUAGGUUGUACUGGCUCAAUUUUUUGAAGCAUAAGAUGAGAUAGAGUUUAAGUAACUGGUGACAUAUUGUGAAUUUAAAGUAUCAGCC